RNAcentral lists this transfer RNA (65 nucleotides) under Dipodomys ordii (Ord's kangaroo rat). It matches the Rfam family "tRNA". From Rfam's summary of the family: Transfer RNA (tRNA) molecules are approximately 80 nucleotides in length. Their secondary structure includes four short double-helical elements and three loops (D, anti-codon, and T loops). Further hydrogen bonds mediate the characteristic L-shaped molecular structure. tRNAs have two regions of fundamental functional importance: the anti-codon, which is responsible for specific mRNA codon recognition, and the 3' end, to which the tRNAs corresponding amino acid is attached (by aminoacyl-tRNA synthetases). tRNAs cope with the degeneracy of the genetic code in two manners: having more than one tRNA (with a specific anti-codon) for a particular amino acid; and 'wobble' base-pairing, i.e. permitting non-standard base-pairing at the 3rd anti-codon position. The record is from Rfam by way of RNAcentral. Lineage: Eukaryota; Metazoa; Chordata; Mammalia; Rodentia; Heteromyidae.
GGUGGCUCAGUGGUAGAGCACAUACCUUGCAUGCAUGAGGCCCUGGGUUCCAUUCCUCAGCACCA